AUCUAUGGCCAUGCCACCCUGAACAAGCCCGAUCUCGUCUGAUCUUGGAAGCUAAGCAGGGUCAGGCCUUGUUAGUAUUUGGAUGGGAGACCACCUAGGAAUACCAGAUGCUGUAAGCA
This 119-nucleotide ribosomal RNA is filed under the name Pteropus alecto (black flying fox). The record is from RNAcentral. Lineage: Eukaryota; Metazoa; Chordata; Mammalia; Chiroptera; Pteropodidae.